UACGAAGGGGCUAGCGUUGCUCGGAAUCACUGGGCGUAAAGGGUGCGUAGGCGGGUCUUUAAGUCAGGGUGAAAUCCUGGAGCUCAACUCCAGAACUGCCUUUGAUACUGAGGAUCUUGAGUUCGGGAGAGGUGAGUGGAACUGCGAGUGUAGAGGUGAAAUUCGUAGAUAUUCGCAAGAACACCAGUGGCGAAGGCGGCUCACUGGCCCGGAACUGACGCUGAGGUGCGAAAGCGUGGGAGCAACAGG
RNAcentral lists this ribosomal RNA (249 nucleotides) under uncultured bacterium. RNAcentral's name for it is "partial 16S ribosomal RNA". It matches the Rfam family "Bacterial small subunit ribosomal RNA", at positions 524 to 776 of the family's 1533-position model. The record is from RNAcentral.